UGCAAAACCCAUGUUAUGAAAUAUGAAUUAUUAAUAAUUUCAUCAAUUUAAAGUAUUCAUUAAUGACAAUAUUCAUAAAUAUUUAGUAUUUUCAACAAAUAUAAUUUCUAUAUUUAACGUAAAAGAAAAGCAGAGGCUGAGUUUGUUCCACGUCGGUAUUUCAGAACAUGAGACAUGAAAUUCCAUAUGAAGUCAGAUCUGUCCUGUAUUUGUACUUAAUCAAUGUUAUAAAAUAUAGUAGGUUUGAAUCUUUAUAUUACGGAUGAGUGUAACGUAAAGAACUCUUGUGUUCUCACUUAAAAUAAUGCAUGCACAUUCGGUAGAAGACGCUUCUAUGCAGCGUUCUUUCUAUACUGUCAUAUCGCAUCCAUUUACAUGGUAACAUAUGACUCGCUUACUCUAUCUUUACAUUUCUAUGUAUGUAGCAAGUAACCAUUUAACAAAUAUUAUUUUAUUUCAUUUUUAAAUUAAUUAUGCUAUUACUUUGUUUCAAACAUGAACACAAAAUUAUAUUUAUCCAAGAAUCUUAUAAUGAUAAAAUUAUCUUUAAUUUAUAUGAAUACAAAAUUAACUGAAAAUUUCUUUAAUAUUGAAUGUAAUAUGUACAAUUUCAUUAUGUAAAUCUUUCAAACCAAAAGCAAAUAAUUGAUUAACUAUACUUUUCAGUUUAUAUCAGAUCAUUAUGUGAAUGUGGGAUUUUUUAAGAAGCAACUUACUUUCAUAAGUUUAUUUAUCGUAAGGGUGGCAAAGUUACGGACGGAUUUCCUUUAUCCGGUUCCUUAUCAGUCAGCCACUUUUUGUACUGAUCCCUUGCUUCAUUAACGCAUGGUUCGUAUCCAGCACGACAAAGGAAAUUUUUUGCCAUUCCUCGCAUAUGAGUUUUCCAAGAUGGUUCAUUUGGUUCUACAGUUCUACUGAG
This is a long non-coding RNA of Bombus huntii, 919 nucleotides long. RefSeq lists it as uncharacterized. NCBI's taxonomy places the organism in Eukaryota, Metazoa, Arthropoda, Insecta, Hymenoptera, Apidae. The transcript has 2 exons. The record is from RefSeq and is a predicted model, not a curated record.